GUCACUGGCGGAGUCAGUGUGCAUGACAGUACAGACGCUGCUGGGUGACCCGGCCCCACCCCUGUCAGGGCCAAUGGUGCCAUGUCAGAGGUGCGAGGGGAGGUAGGGCGGGCAGGGCUGGGGUGUGAGACCAGGUGUCACGACUGUUGUGUCUCCCCCACAGUGCCCUAGAGUCCAUCCAGAGUGCCCGUGCUGCCCAGGCCCCGCACUGGAAGAGCCUCCAGCAGCAAGGUCAGUGUGGCCGGGUGCUAGGCUGCAGGAUCCCACCUCGGGCUCCCGUGCAGUGGCUAUGACUCCGAACUGUCCCUAGAUGUGACCGCUGUGCCGAUGAGCCCCAGCAGCCACUCCCCAGAGGGGAGGCCUCCACCUCUGCUGCCUGGGGGUCCAGUGUGUAAGGCAGCUGCAUCUGCACUGAGCUCCCUCCUGGACCAGCCGUGCCUCUGCCCCGCACCCUCUGUCCGCACCGCUGUUGCCCUGACAACGCCGGAUAUCACAUUGGUUCUGCCCCCUGACGUCAUCCAACAGGAAGCGUCAGCCCUGAGGGAGGAGACAGAAGCCUGGGCCAGGUGGGCAGGGCUGGCCUGGGGAGAAGGAUGGGGCCGCAUCUACACCUGUGCCUGUGUGUGCCUGACCUGCGGUCACUCCGUGUCUGUGUGUCCCUCUGGUCUGUCCACCACAGGCCACACGAGUCCCUGGCCCGGGAGGAGGCCCUCACUGCACUUGGGAAGCUCCUGUACCUCUUAGAUGGGAUGCUGGAUGGGCAGGUGGGAGCACCUGGGAGGGGUUGGGGAUGCUGUGGACCUAGGGGCAGGGACCAGGACCUGCCAACGAGAUGUGGCCUGUCCAGAGGAGGGCUGGGUGGUGCAGAACCCCAUGGAUGUGAACAUUGCUGUUCCCAGAACAGCCCCAGGGGUGGGGAUCACUAGUGUGUCUGACCUCUGACCUCAGCUUCUUCAGUUAAAUGCUCUUUGGCAGAGAGGUGAAGGGGGUGAUUUAAAGUAUACAUUUAGGCAGGGUGCAGUGGCUCAUGCCUGUAAUAACGGCAGUUUGGGGGGCCAAGGUGGGAGAAACGCUUGAGCCCAGGAGUUCAAGACCAGCCUAGAGAACAUAUGGAGACCCUGUCUCCACAAAAAAUAAAGAAGUCAGCCAAGCAUGGUGGUGUGUGCCUGUAGUUCAGUUACUUAGGAGGCUGAGGCAGGACAAUCGCUUAAGCCCAGGAGUUUGAGGCUGUGGUGAGCUACAAUUGCGCCACUGCACGCCAGCCUGGCUACAGAACGAGACCCUGCCUCUCUUAAAAAAAAAAAAAAAAAAAAAA
Molecule: small RNA, 1315 nt
Filed under: Pan troglodytes (chimpanzee)
Lineage: Eukaryota; Metazoa; Chordata; Mammalia; Primates; Hominidae
Description: retained intron
Source: RNAcentral